Molecule: long non-coding RNA, 456 nt
Filed under: Homo sapiens (human)
Lineage: Eukaryota; Metazoa; Chordata; Mammalia; Primates; Hominidae
Description: non-protein coding lnc-C22orf23-1:2
Source: RNAcentral
CUCUGAAGAGACUGAGGGACUCGGCCAAUGCCAAUGAUGUGGAAACAGCAGCUGCUGGAAGAUGGCGCGGAUCCCUGUGCAGCUGAUGACAAGGGCCGCACAGCUCUACACUUUGCCUCAUGCAAUGGCAAUGACCAGAUUGUGCAGCUGCUCCUGGACCAUGGUGCUGAUCCUAACCAGCGAGAUGGGCUGGGGAACACGCCACUGCACCUGGCGGCCUGCACCAACCACGUUCCUGUCAUCACCACACUGCUACGAGGAGGGGCCCGUGUAGAUGCCCUGGACCGAGCUGGUCGCACACCCCUGCACCUGGCCAAGUCAAAGCUGAAUAUCCUGCAGGAGGGCCAUGCCCAGUGCCUAGAGGCUGUGCGUCUGGAGGUGAAGCAGAUCAUCCAUAUGCUGAGGGAGUAUCUGGAGCGCCUAGGGCAACAUGAGCAGCGAGAACGCCUGGAUGAC